CCUUGAAAUACCACCCUUUAAUGUUUGAUGUUCUAACGUUGACCCGUGAUCCGGGUUGCGGACAGUGUCUGGUGGGUAGUUUGACUGGGGCGGUCUCCUCCUAAAGAGUAACGGAGGAGCACGAAGGUUGGCUAAUCCUGGUCGGACAUCAGGAGGUUAGUGCAAUGGCAUAAGCCAGCUUGACUGCGAGCGUGACGGCGCGAGCAGGUGCGAAAGCAGGUCAUAGUGAUCCGGUGGUUCUGAAUGGAAGGGCCAUCGCUCAACGGAUAAAAGGUACUCCGGGGAUAACAGGCUGAUACCGCCCAAGAGUUCAUAUCGACGGCGGUGUUUGGCACCUCGAUGUCGGCUCAUCACAUCCUGGGGCUGAAGUAGGUCCCAAGGGUAUGGCUGUUCGCCAUUUAAAGUGGUACGCGAGCUGGGUUUAGAACGUCGUGAGACAGUUCGGUCCCUAUCUGCCGUGGGCGCU
This 466-nucleotide ribosomal RNA is filed under the name Escherichia coli. RNAcentral's name for it is "partial 23S ribosomal RNA". It matches the Rfam family "Bacterial large subunit ribosomal RNA", at positions 2190 to 2655 of the family's 2925-position model. The record is from RNAcentral. Lineage: Bacteria; Pseudomonadati; Pseudomonadota; Gammaproteobacteria; Enterobacterales; Enterobacteriaceae.